RNAcentral lists this ribosomal RNA (429 nucleotides) under uncultured bacterium. Its description in RNAcentral is "bacterial SSU rRNA". It matches the Rfam family "Bacterial small subunit ribosomal RNA", at positions 355 to 775 of the family's 1533-position model. The record is from RNAcentral.
UGAGGAGUAUUGCGCAAUGGGGGCAACCCUGACGCAGCAACGCCGCGUGAGUGAGGAAGGUUUUCGGACCGUAAAGCUCUGUCGAGCGGGAAGAAAUGCAUGGUGGCUAAUAUCCAUCAUGCUUGACGGUACCGCUAAAGGAAGCACCGGCUAACUCCGUGCCAGCAGCCGCGGUAAUACGGGGGGUGCGAGCGUUGUUCGGAAUUAUUGGGCGUAAAGAGCGUGUAGGCGGCCGAAUAAGUCAGAUGUGAAAUCCCUGGGCUUAACCCAGGACGUGCAUUUGAAACUAUUCGGCUGGAGUAGGGGAGAGGAAAGUGGGAUUCCUGGUGUAGAGGUGAAAUUCGUAGAUAUCGGGAGGAACACCGGUGGCGAAGGCGACUUUCUGGCCCUAUACUGACGCUGAGACGCGAGAGCGUGGGUAGCAAACAG